This 649-nucleotide ribosomal RNA is filed under the name uncultured bacterium. RNAcentral's name for it is "bacterial SSU rRNA". It matches the Rfam family "Bacterial small subunit ribosomal RNA", at positions 49 to 678 of the family's 1533-position model. The record is from RNAcentral.
UUAGGCAUGCAAGUCGUACGUGAUCCUCGUUUCGGUGAGGUGAAAGUGGCGAACGGGUGAGUAAUGCAUAGCUAACCUACCCUUGGCACGGGGAUAACCAGGAGAAAUCUUGGCUAAUACCCGAUAGGCUCGCGGGGUUGCAUGGUCCUGCGAGUAAAGGAGGCCUNUUAGCAAUGCUUUCGGCCGAGGACGGGACUAUGUCCUAUCAGCUAGUUGGUAGGGUAAUGGCUUACCAAGGCGAUGACGGGUAGCCGACCUGAGAGGGUGACCGGCCACACUGGGACUGAGACACUGCCCAGACUCCUACGGGAGGCUGCAGUCGAGAAUCUUCCGCAAUGGGGGAAACCCUGACGGAGCGACGCCGCGUGCGGGAUGAAGGCCUUCGGGUUGUAAACCGCUGUCACGCAUUAAGAAGGGCCCGGCGUUAACAGCGCUGGGCUUUGACGAAGGUGCGGGAGGAAGCCACGGCUAACUCUGUGCCAGCAGCCGCGGUAAGACAGAGGUGGCGACCGUUUUUCGCAAUCACUGGGCAUAAAGCGCGUGAGGCGGCAUAGCAAGUCGGGUGUGAAAUCCCUCGGCCCAACCGAGGAAUUGCGCUCGAAACUGCCGUGCUUGAGGACAGGAGGGGAGCCUGGAAUUCCUGGUCGAA